GCCUGGGUGGCUCAGUUGGUUAAGCAUCUGACUUUGGCUCAGGUCAUGAUCUUACAGUUUGUGGGUUUGACCCCCACACUGGGCU
Transfer RNA from Felis catus (domestic cat), 85 nucleotides. It matches the Rfam family "tRNA". From Rfam's summary of the family: Transfer RNA (tRNA) molecules are approximately 80 nucleotides in length. Their secondary structure includes four short double-helical elements and three loops (D, anti-codon, and T loops). The record is from Rfam. Lineage: Eukaryota; Metazoa; Chordata; Mammalia; Carnivora; Felidae.